RNAcentral lists this transfer RNA (77 nucleotides) under Chloroflexaceae bacterium. Its description in RNAcentral is "tRNA-Arg". It matches the Rfam family "tRNA". From Rfam's summary of the family: Transfer RNA (tRNA) molecules are approximately 80 nucleotides in length. Their secondary structure includes four short double-helical elements and three loops (D, anti-codon, and T loops). The record is from RNAcentral. Lineage: Bacteria; Bacillati; Chloroflexota; Chloroflexia; Chloroflexales; Chloroflexaceae.
CUCGCCAUCGCCCAAGCGGAAAGGGUGCCACCGUGCGAAGGUGGAGGCUGAAGGUUCGAGUCCUUCUGGCGAGGCCA